Molecule: ribosomal RNA, 111 nt
Filed under: Pteropus alecto (black flying fox)
Lineage: Eukaryota; Metazoa; Chordata; Mammalia; Chiroptera; Pteropodidae
Also listed under: 1 other name
Source: RNAcentral
GUCUAUGGCCAUGCUACCUUGAACAAGCCUGAUCCCAUCUGAUCUCGGAAGCUAAGCAGAGUCAGGCCUAGUUAGUACUUGGAUUGUAAGCUGACAAGGUCCUUGCAAUCU